RNAcentral lists this ribosomal RNA (253 nucleotides) under uncultured bacterium. Its description in RNAcentral is "partial 16S ribosomal RNA". It matches the Rfam family "Bacterial small subunit ribosomal RNA", at positions 524 to 776 of the family's 1533-position model. The record is from RNAcentral.
UACGGGGGGUGCGAGCGUUGUCCGGAAUCACUGGGCGUAAAGGGCGCGUAGGUGGCGUGAUAAGGGUGUGGUGAAAGCCCGGGGCUCAACCCCGGGUCUGCCAUGCCGACUGUCAGGCUGGAGUACUGUAGGGGCAGGCGGAAUUCCGGGUGUAGCGGUGGAAUGCGUAGAGAUCCCCAAGAACACCAGUUGCGAAGGCGGCCGACUGGACACAUAUUGACGCUGAGGCUCGAAAGCAUGGGGAGCAAACAGG